Molecule: ribosomal RNA, 253 nt
Filed under: uncultured bacterium
Lineage: Bacteria
Description: partial 16S ribosomal RNA
Rfam family: Bacterial small subunit ribosomal RNA
Source: RNAcentral
UACGGAGGGUGCAAGCGUUGUUCGGAAUCACUGGGCGUAAAGCGCGUGUAGGCGGCUCUGUAAGUCUGGUGUGAAAGCCCGGGGCUUACCCCCGGAAGUGCACUGGAAACUGCAAGGCUUGAGUACCGGAGAGGAAGGUGGAAUUCCUGGUGUAGCGGUGAAAUGCGUAGAUAUCAGGAGGAACACCGGUGGCGAAGGCGGCCUUCUGGACGGAUACUGACGCUGAGACGCGAAAGCGUGGGGAGCAAACAGG